This 1403-nucleotide long non-coding RNA is filed under the name Nicotiana benthamiana. Its description in RNAcentral is "long non-coding RNA (NBEN_LNC022630)". The record is from RNAcentral. Lineage: Eukaryota; Viridiplantae; Streptophyta; Magnoliopsida; Solanales; Solanaceae.
GUACAUUGGCCUAAUCUCAUAAGUUACGGCAUUCUUCCUUAUCGAGGCUUCAUAUUCAGUUUAAUUUGUCUUCUUUCAGCCAAGGGAGCCGAAGUCUAUAUAUAUAUAUAUACAAUAUUAUAGUAUUUUAAUUACCAUCGAGUUAUAAUCGAUGGGCAGGACCCUAUUGGCCAACCUCUGAUCGGAUGUUAAGUUAUAUACCGAGCCUACUGUGGCUGAAUGCCUAUGAGCGGGCCCAGAAUGACCGAGAUACAGAGCUUAGUAUGGCCGAGGGCCAAUGAGAGAGCCUACUACGGCAGAGCACUUACACAUACGAGCCUUAUAGAGUCAGACAACUAAUUUACUUACUAUAUUGAGAGAGUUGAGUCAGUAUUAGCAGGUAAGCAUAUCGUCAAAUUAUCUUUGACUCCUAUUACUUUCAGUUGUUAUAUUAUCAGUUUAGUUGCAGCUUUCAAUUUUUUUAUUAUCUUACAUACUCGGUACAUUAUUUCUUCUUGACGUACCUUCUUAUCGAGGACGUUGCAUUUUAUGCCUGCAGGUCCUGAUAGACAGCUGAAUAGACCUUUCUUAUAGACAGAGUCAAACAUGAGGUUGGUUGGUAAGUUCUACUUCCUCGAAGUUACCAGGUCUAUACCUUGGAGUCCAUUUUAUAUAUACAGGUUUGAGGGGUAGGCCGAGGCCUUGUCCCGACAAUGAUACGAUUUUUUCUAUCUCUAGAGGCUUGUAGACGAGUCCAGUAUAUUUUGUAUAUCAGUAGAUUUUCAUGGUGACUUUGUUAGCCUACACAUUUAUAUAUAUCAACUUUUGGGUCUGUGUACCCUUCAUAUGAUAGACACAUUAUUUUCAGAUGAUUCAGAAUAUGGCCUCGUCAGCCUAACUCGAGAGGUACCUCUUCAAAGUUCACAGUUACAGAGUGGUACACUCGGGCCGAGUAUGGCACCAAGUGUCGGCCACGCCUCUUCAGGUUUGAGGUGUGACAAUACAUUUUUAGGUACCAAAUAUAAAUGGUUUCUGGCACGAGCUAAAAGUGAAAACCCCAAAUAUUUUCUUAUAAGAAGAUUUCUCUCCUUGAAAAAGAGUCAAUCACAAAUUGAGGAGAAUACUCUUUGUUUCUAUUUCUACCACUAAACUUUGUUAUUUUCAUACUUGUAACAAUGAUAUGUGAUGUCAUUACAAUGAUAUGUGAUGUCAUUACAUUUACAUUGAUAUACAUGUAAUAAGUACUAACAGUCCUUUCAAAAAAAUAGUACUAACAGCUCUAUUUUCCUUUUAAUUAACGUAUUUGAAAAACCACAAAAGUUUAUCCUUUGUCCUUACAUCCUAUUAUUGUUGCUACUUAUUUCUCAAUCAACAUAAGAGCGUAAUUUCAUGUUUAUUGCAGUAUCCCUUUUUUUUUUUUUUGG